UAAGAAAUGAAAUAACAAAUAAUCAUAUAGGCUACAGCUGUCGCCUAUUUUGCCCCUUCCUGUUUCAUGUUCAACCGAGCUCACUAUUGGUUUUUAAUGUUCACGUCACUAUUUGCAUGAGCCACGACUGAAAAGACUUCCAUGUUUGAUAUUGUCGUAACGGCAAAACUAGAAAAAGACUGACUCCGACGAACUUAAAACCGCUAAGAUUGGCACCUUACACUAAACGAUUUAGAUGACGGGAGCGCGCCGAGAUUCUAGUACAACUCCCAAGAUUUUGGAAUUUAGUCGCCGACUGUUAAAACAGACCAAAAUCGUGCAAUUAGUGGAGGGGUGGAAGAAUAAAGGCUGGAGGAAGAGAGCACCGAACAGAAACAGAUUGAGGAGGAGACUGUCCUGAGGCCCUCCAGGAUGAGGAGAACAGAAGUGAGUGCAGCACAGACUUGAAGUUUCCCUGUGGACAGCCUCUGAUGGAACCGGUGCCCUCCCCAGGGAACACUGACAUGGUGAGGGCGGGGAAUGGUAAAUCCAAAGUGAGUUUUAAAAUGACAUUAUGAUAAUGAAAGGGACUCAAUAUUUCUUGAGGGCUGUUUUUAUUUAUUUAUUUCUAUGUAUUGUUU
Long non-coding RNA from Sardina pilchardus (European sardine), 620 nucleotides. RefSeq lists it as uncharacterized. NCBI's taxonomy places the organism in Eukaryota, Metazoa, Chordata, Actinopteri, Clupeiformes, Clupeidae. The transcript has 3 exons. The record is from RefSeq and is a predicted model, not a curated record.